RNAcentral lists this ribosomal RNA (446 nucleotides) under Bacteroidetes bacterium oral taxon 272. RNAcentral's name for it is "bacterial SSU rRNA". It matches the Rfam family "Bacterial small subunit ribosomal RNA", at positions 28 to 464 of the family's 1533-position model. The record is from RNAcentral. Lineage: Bacteria; Pseudomonadati; Bacteroidota.
GAUGAACGCUAGCUACAGGCUUAACACAUGCAAGUCGUGGGGCAUCAUGAUGUAGUAAUACAUUGAUGGCGACCGGCGCACGGGUGAGUAACGCGUAUCCAACCUACCCUCCACUCAAGUAUAGGCUUCCGAAAGGGAGAUUAAUCCUUGAUAUCGUCAUUCUCUCUCCUGUUAGAAUGAUAAAAGGACAUCGUUUCGGUAGAGGAUGGGGAUGCGUUCCAUUAGGUAGUAGGUGGUUUAACAGGCCACCUAGCCGAUGAUGGAUAGGGGUUCUGAGAGGAAUAUCCCCCACACUGGUACUGAGAUACGGACCAGACUCCUACGGGAGGCAGCAGUGAGGAAUAUUGGUCAAUGGGCGCAAGCCUGAACCAGCCAUGUAGCGUGAAGGAUGACGGUUUUUUUGAUUGUAAACUCCUUUUCUGUGCGAUUAAAGUGUGGCAUUUAUG